GGACAUGUAGCUCAGUGGUAGAGUAUUUGAUUAGCAUGCACAAGGCCUUGGGUUCAAUUCCCAGCACCACCA
RNAcentral lists this transfer RNA (72 nucleotides) under Mesocricetus auratus (golden hamster). It matches the Rfam family "tRNA". Rfam says of the family: Transfer RNA (tRNA) molecules are approximately 80 nucleotides in length. Their secondary structure includes four short double-helical elements and three loops (D, anti-codon, and T loops). Further hydrogen bonds mediate the characteristic L-shaped molecular structure. tRNAs have two regions of fundamental functional importance: the anti-codon, which is responsible for specific mRNA codon recognition, and the 3' end, to which the tRNAs corresponding amino acid is attached (by aminoacyl-tRNA synthetases). tRNAs cope with the degeneracy of the genetic code in two manners: having more than one tRNA (with a specific anti-codon) for a particular amino acid; and 'wobble' base-pairing, i.e. permitting non-standard base-pairing at the 3rd anti-codon position. Lineage: Eukaryota; Metazoa; Chordata; Mammalia; Rodentia; Cricetidae. The record is from Rfam by way of RNAcentral.